Pomacea canaliculata is the source of this 1121-nucleotide long non-coding RNA. RefSeq lists it as uncharacterized. NCBI's taxonomy places the organism in Eukaryota, Metazoa, Mollusca, Gastropoda, Architaenioglossa, Ampullariidae. The transcript has 2 exons. The record is from RefSeq and is a predicted model, not a curated record.
UUGUGGUUCUCACACUCCGUGUUCCACACUGAGGCGUUUCAUCAAAGCAACGGUCCUCCGUGGUGACCAGACUGACGAUGGCGCUGCUGCUGCUGACGAUGACAGCGAGAAGAGCAGGGGCUGGAGGUAGGAGGCUCAGUCCUAGUCACAGCAACAUGGACAACAGAAGAUGUCGGCGAUAAGAAUGUCACAAACAUCUUUGUUAAAAGUAAAACUUUCUUACUUCAUGAACCCCGACAAAAUUAGAAAACAUCACACAGAACUCGUUGACAGUUCGUCCAUUCGAAAGUUCGCAUGCGGCAAUUUAAACAUUCAAACUGGAUUCAAAUCUGAAUGCAACAAGGGUGGAAUAGAAAGAAACCGUUAUGCCAAUGUGCCAUUGUAUUACGAAAUCAUAUUAACAUCCUGUAAUUUGCAGACUAAACAAAUGACAAAACUAGUCAACCUUUAUUCUGUGCUAUUAUUCAAGACUGAGUUGGUCUGGAAGAACUUGCUAACCAAUGUACCCGCUUUACAGAGAACAGUAUAAAAAGUAUGAGACUGGAUAAAACAUUGUGUAUCAAUAGCCUGAAACUUCAUCGUCUCAGACACUCAACCGAGGAACCCUUGACGAUGAAAUAUCGAAGUACGCACAGAAAAUGAAGUACAGUCCACUCUCUGCCGGUUUUAUCUACACCCAAAAAUUUAUAUUUGGGAAAUAAUUGAGAGACUAAGAAGAGCGGCGGAAGAAGACAUGCCUGAUCAAAAGCGAAUUCGGAGAGAAAACUUCUCGAGGGUUGGCGGGAUGUGGAACACGCCGCGACACCUAGCGGGGAGAGUUUGGAGACGUGAAGUUAUUUACUGCCCGCCUUAUUGCCACCUUUGUACUCAUGCACUGCCUUUGAUCUCCAUAUAAACACGUCGCUCUUGUGCUGCUAGAAAUAUUGUCAGGCAAGAUGCGGGUGCCUGCGCCUGUAAAUUACUUCAACAUGCUGCAGGGUGCUGGACUCGAGCCACCCGAGUGAUGUCCCGACCCUUGGGUUCGACUCCAUGCAGGAACAGCAGCUACCCACUCAGCCACUCUCUGCCUCCAGUCUUAAAAAGAAGAAAAGAAAGAAAGAAAAAAAAAAAGGAGAAAAGUA